AGAAAGAACACAUUGCAACUGUGCUUAACUACUGUAUAAUUGUCAGUGUGAUGUGUACUUAUGGAAGUAUAGUCAUUGUUGUCUUAGUCAACACAUGGUUCAAUAAUUAACAGAACAAUGCAUUUUAUUCAAUUUGCUUCCAGAGUUGGCGUGUUUGGAGAGUCUUGAGAUUUCUUGUAGUAAAGUCACUAAUUUUGGCAUCAGCUUUCUAAAAGGGUUGCAAAAGCUUUCCUUACUAAACUUGGAAGGGUGCCUUGUAACAGCUGCAUGCUUGGAUUCUCUUGCAAUUCUGAAAUUUGGGAAUGCUAGUAUGAUACGUGAGCGCUCAUUGGUGGGUAUAAUGAUGGAUA
Long non-coding RNA from Arachis duranensis, 350 nucleotides. RefSeq lists it as uncharacterized. NCBI's taxonomy places the organism in Eukaryota, Viridiplantae, Streptophyta, Magnoliopsida, Fabales, Fabaceae. The record is from RefSeq and is a predicted model, not a curated record. The transcript has 3 exons.